UUAUGGCCAUAUCAUGUUGAAACACCAGUUCUCAUACAAUCACCAAAGUUAAGCAACAAUAAGCCUGGUCAGUAUCUAGAUGGAUGAUGGCUUGGGAAAAUCACGAGCUGUAAG
This is a non-coding RNA of Acanthosepion pharaonis, 114 nucleotides long. The record is from the annotation of a GenBank genome assembly. Lineage: Eukaryota; Metazoa; Mollusca; Cephalopoda; Sepiida; Sepiidae.